Molecule: non-coding RNA, 73 nt
Organism: Bos taurus (domestic cattle)
Lineage: Eukaryota; Metazoa; Chordata; Mammalia; Artiodactyla; Bovidae
Source: Rfam
UCCCUGGUAGCUCAGCUGGUAAAGAAUCCACCUGCCAUGUGGGAGACCUGGGUUUGAUCCCUAAGUUGGGGAA